RNAcentral lists this ribosomal RNA (389 nucleotides) under Dinophyceae sp. Its description in RNAcentral is "partial small subunit ribosomal RNA". It matches the Rfam family "Eukaryotic small subunit ribosomal RNA", at positions 582 to 975 of the family's 1831-position model. Lineage: Eukaryota; Dinophyceae. The record is from RNAcentral.
AUUCCAGCUCCAAUAGCGUAUAUUAAAGUUGUUGCGGUUAAAAAGCUCGUAGUUGGAUUUCUGCCGAGGAUGACCGGUCCGCCCUGUGGGUGUGCAUCUGGCUCAGCCUUGGCAUCUUCCUGAAGAACGUAGCUGCACUUGACUGUGUGGUGCGGUAUUUAGGACAUUUACUUUGAGGAAAUUAGAGUGUUUCAAGCAAGCGCACGCUUUGAAUACAUUAGCAUGGAAUAAUAAGAUAGGGCCUCGGUUCUAUUUUGUUGGUUUCUAGAGCUGAGGUAAUGAUUGAUAGGGAUAGUUGGGGGUGCUAGUAUUUUGCGGCCAGAGGUGAAAUUCUGUGAUUCGCGAAAGACUAACUUAUGCGAAAGCAUUCACCAAGGAUGUCUUCAUCA